RNAcentral lists this ribosomal RNA (253 nucleotides) under uncultured Pseudomonas sp. RNAcentral describes it as "partial 16S ribosomal RNA". It matches the Rfam family "Bacterial small subunit ribosomal RNA", at positions 1131 to 1382 of the family's 1533-position model. Lineage: Bacteria; Pseudomonadati; Pseudomonadota; Gammaproteobacteria; Pseudomonadales; Pseudomonadaceae. The record is from RNAcentral.
UGGGGCACUCGUAAGGAGACUGCCGGUGACAAACCGGAGGAAGGUGGGGAUGACGUCAAGUCAUCAUGGCCCUUACGGCCUGGGCUACACACGUGCUACGAAUGGUCGGUACAAAGGGUUGCCAAGCCGCGAGGUGGAGCUAAUCCCAUAAACCGAUCGUAGUCCGGAUCGCAGUCUGCAACUCGACUGCGUGAAGUCGGAAUCGCUAGUAAUCGUGAAUCAGAAUGUCACGGUGAAUACGUUCCCGGGCCUU